CAGUCGCCGCGGGAAUACGUAGGGUGCAAGCGUUAAUCGGAAUUACUGGGCGUAAAGCGUGCGCAGGCGGUUAUAUAAGACAGAUGUGAAAUCCCCGGGCUCAACCUGGGAACUGCAUUUGUGACUGUAUAGCUAGAGUACGGCAGAGGGGGAUGGAAUUCCGCGUGUAGCAGUGAAAUGCGUAGAUAUGCGGAGGAACACCGAUGGCGAAGGCAAUCCCCUGGGCCUGUACUGACGCUCAUGCACGAAAGCGUGGGGAGCAAACAGGAUUAGAUACCCGCGUAGUCCCUGUCUCUUAUAC
This 301-nucleotide ribosomal RNA is filed under the name uncultured bacterium. RNAcentral's name for it is "partial 16S ribosomal RNA". It matches the Rfam family "Bacterial small subunit ribosomal RNA", at positions 509 to 807 of the family's 1533-position model. The record is from RNAcentral.